This 253-nucleotide ribosomal RNA is filed under the name uncultured bacterium. RNAcentral describes it as "partial 16S ribosomal RNA". It matches the Rfam family "Bacterial small subunit ribosomal RNA", at positions 524 to 776 of the family's 1533-position model. The record is from RNAcentral.
UACAGAGGGUGCAAGCGUUAAUCGGAAUUACUGGGCGUAAAGCGUGCGUAGCCGGUUAUGUAAGUCAGACGUGAAAUCCCUCGGCUUAACCGGGGAACUGCGUCUGAUACUGGAUGGCUUGAGAUUGGGAGAGGGAUGCGGAAUUCCAGGUGUAGCGGUGAAAUGCGUAGAUAUCUGGAGGAACACCGGUGGCGAAGGCGGCAUCCUGGACCAACACUGACGCUGAGGAGCGAAAGCCAGGGGAGCAAGCGGG